This 1235-nucleotide ribosomal RNA is filed under the name Acinetobacter baumannii. RNAcentral's name for it is "partial 23S ribosomal RNA". It matches the Rfam family "Bacterial large subunit ribosomal RNA", at positions 1711 to 2925 of the family's 2925-position model. The record is from RNAcentral. Lineage: Bacteria; Pseudomonadati; Pseudomonadota; Gammaproteobacteria; Moraxellales; Moraxellaceae.
AACUAGGCAAAAUGGUACCGUAACUUCGGGAGAAGGUACGCUGUUGUUGGUGAUGGAACUCGCUUCCUGAGCUGACGACAGCCGCAGAAACCAGGCCGCUGCAACUGUUUAUUAAAAACAUAGCACUCUGCAAACACGAAAGUGGACGUAUAGGGUGUGAUGCCUGCCCGGUGCUGGAAGGUUAAUUGAUGGGGUUAGCGUAAGCGAAGCUCUUGAUCGAAGCCCCAGUAAACGGCGGCCGUAACUAUAACGGUCCUAAGGUAGCGAAAUUCCUUGUCGGGUAAGUUCCGACCUGCACGAAUGGCAUAAUGAUGGCGGCGCUGUCUCCAGCAGAGGCUCAGUGAAAUCGAAAUCGCUGUGAAGAUGCAGUGUACCCGCGGCUAGACGGAAAGACCCCGUGAACCUUUACUGCAGCUUGACACUGAACUUUGACCUUACUUGUGUAGGAUAGGUGGGAGGCUUUGAAGCUGGAACGCUAGUUCCAGUGGAGCCGUCCUUGAAAUACCACCCUGGUAAUGUUGAGGUUCUAACUCUGUCCCGUGAUCCGGGACGAGGACCGUGUCUGGUGGGUAGUUUGACUGGGGCGGUCUCCUCCUAAAGAGUAACGGAGGAGUACGAAGGUGCGCUCAGCGUGGUCGGAAAUCACGCGUAGAGUAUAAAGGCAAAAGCGCGCUUAACUGCGAGACCCACAAGUCGAGCAGGUACGAAAGUAGGUCUUAGUGAUCCGGUGGUUCUGUAUGGAAGGGCCAUCGCUCAACGGAUAAAAGGUACUCUGGGGAUAACAGGCUGAUACCGCCCAAGAGUUCAUAUCGACGGCGGUGUUUGGCACCUCGAUGUCGGCUCAUCUCAUCCUGGGGCUGAAGCAGGUCCCAAGGGUAUGGCUGUUCGCCAUUUAAAGAGGUACGCGAGCUGGGUUUAGAACGUCGUGAGACAGUUCGGUCCCUAUCUACCGUGGGCGCUGGAAAUUUGAGAGGAUCUGCUCCUAGUACGAGAGGACCAGAGUGGACGAACCUCUGGUGUACCGGUUGUGACGCCAGUCGCAUCGCCGGGUAGCUAUGUUCGGAAGGGAUAACCGCUGAAAGCAUCUAAGCGGGAAGCCUACCUCAAGAUAAGAUUUCCCUAGGACUUUAUGUCCUCUAAAGAGCCGUUCGAGACUAGGACGUUGAUAGGUUGGAUGUGGAAGCAUAGUGAUAUGUGAAGCUGACCAAUACUAAUUGCUCGUGAGGCUUGACUAU